Molecule: non-coding RNA, 74 nt
Organism: Podarcis lilfordi (Lilford's wall lizard)
Lineage: Eukaryota; Metazoa; Chordata; Lepidosauria; Squamata; Lacertidae
Source: the annotation of a GenBank genome assembly
GGAGCUGUAGCCCAGUGGUAUAGAGCGCCUGCUUUGCCCGCAAGAGGUCCCAGGUGCAUUCCCCGGCAUCUCCU